AGGCUUAACACAUGCAAGUCGAGCGGGGGAAGGUAGCUUGCUACCGGACCUAGCGGCGGACGGGUGAGUAAUGCUUAGGAAUCUGCCUAUUAGUGGGGGACAACAUCUCGAAAGGGAUGCUAAUACCGCAUACGUCCUACGGGAGAAAGCAGGGGAUCUUCGGACCUUGCGCUAAUAGAUGAGCCUAAGUCGGAUUAGCUAGUUGGUGGGGUAAAGGCCUACCAAGGCGACGAUCUGUAGCGGGUCUGAGAGGAUGAUCCGCCACACUGGGACUGAGACACGGCCCAGACUCCUACGGGAGGCAGCAGUGGGGAAUAUUGGACAAUGGGGGGAACCCUGAUCCAGCCAUGCCGCGUGUGUGAAGAAGGCCUUAUGGUUGUAAAGCACUUUAAGCGAGGAGGAGGCUACUUUAGUUAAUACCUAGAGAUAGUGGACGUUACUCGCAGAAUAAGCACCGGCUAACUCUGUGCCAGCAGCCGCGGUAAUACAGAGGGUGCGAGCGUUAAUCGGAUUUACUGGGCGUAAAGCGUGCGUAGGCGGCUUAUUAAGUCGGAUGUGAAAUCCCCGAGCUUAACUUGGGAAUUGCAUUCGAUACUGGUGAGCUAGAGUAUGGGAGAGGAUGGUAGAAUUCCAGGUGUAGCGGUGAAAUGCGUAGAGAUCUGGAGGAAUACCGAUGGCGAAGGCAGCCAUCUGGCCUAAUACUGACGCUGAGGUACGAAAGCAUGGGG
Molecule: ribosomal RNA, 728 nt
Filed under: Acinetobacter calcoaceticus
Lineage: Bacteria; Pseudomonadati; Pseudomonadota; Gammaproteobacteria; Moraxellales; Moraxellaceae
Description: bacterial SSU rRNA
Rfam family: Bacterial small subunit ribosomal RNA
Source: RNAcentral